UGAAGAAGGCCUUCGGGUUGUAAAGCUCUUUCGGCCGGAACGAAACGGUUACGGAUAAUACCCGUGACUAAUGACGGUACCGGAGUAAGAAGCACCGGCUAACUACGUGC
Molecule: ribosomal RNA, 110 nt
Filed under: uncultured bacterium
Lineage: Bacteria
Description: partial 16S ribosomal RNA
Source: RNAcentral